GACGAACGCUGGCGGCGUGCUUAACACAUGCAAGUCGAGCGAUGAAUUUUCUUCGGAAAUGGAUUAGCGGCGAACGGGUGAGGAACACGUGAAGAAUCUGCCCUCCACUUUGGGAUAACACAGGGAAACCUGUGCUAAUACCGAAUAUUGAAACAUAAGUGGCAUCACUGAGUUUUGAAAGAAUUUCGGUGGAGGAUGACUUCGCGGCCUAUCAGCUAGUUGGUGAGGUAAUGGCUCACCAAGGCAACGACGGGUAGCCGGCCUGAGAGGGCGACCGGCCACACUGGGACUGAGACACGGCCCAGACUCCUACGGGAGGCAGCAGUGGGGAAUAUUGGGCAAUGGAGGAAACUCUGACCCAGCGACGCCGCGUGCGGGAUGAAGGCCUUCGGGUUGUAAACCGCUUUCAGUAGGGAAGAAGCGAAAGUGACGGUACCUACAAAAGAAGCACCGGCUAACUAUGUGCCAGCCGCCGCAGUAA
RNAcentral lists this ribosomal RNA (481 nucleotides) under uncultured bacterium. RNAcentral describes it as "partial 16S ribosomal RNA". It matches the Rfam family "Bacterial small subunit ribosomal RNA", at positions 28 to 523 of the family's 1533-position model. The record is from RNAcentral.